Molecule: long non-coding RNA, 481 nt
Filed under: Arabidopsis lyrata
Lineage: Eukaryota; Viridiplantae; Streptophyta; Magnoliopsida; Brassicales; Brassicaceae
Description: long non-coding RNA (ALYR_LNC000640)
Source: RNAcentral
GAGUGAGACUUUUUUUAUUAUCAUUAACAAAAUCACCAUGUGUGUACGUGUGCGUUUUUAUAGUCUGGUCCUCUUCAUGAUCUUAGUAAGGAGAUGCCUUGAACUGGCAGGAUUCAACUGCAGGGAUUUUGCAAAUCUUAGGCAAGUUCUGAGCAGUCUGAAACACAUGUUUCAUCUGUUGUUGUCCAUGCAUUCCCUGGAAUCUAACUUGUUGAGCAGCCUUUUUCAGUGUAGGACACACACACAUCUUGUCCACUUGUCUUAACUCAUUGCAACACAUUCUAAGAGCUGGUUGAUGUUGUUGAGGUGUUGGGUUCUCAUCGUCCUCAAAAUCAACAUCAAGAGUGAGCUCAAAGUCAUCAGCUUCGUAUCCGAUUCUUCCUUGUUGAGCUCGCUUGCGGAUCCAUUGCUUGCAACCUCUUAGUUGCUGAUGCUGCAUAAACUCCCUCUGGCACUUAUCUUGUUGUGGGUUGCUAACGUC